Non-coding RNA from Ascodesmis nigricans, 124 nucleotides. The record is from the annotation of a GenBank genome assembly. NCBI's taxonomy places the organism in Eukaryota, Fungi, Ascomycota, Pezizomycetes, Pezizales, Ascodesmidaceae.
GCUUGGUUGGCUCAGUUGGUAGAGCGUUGGUCUCAUACGCAGUAGUGCAAUGACGGUUUCGAGCGCGAAAAAAAAAAACGAAGCUGAUAUCCAAAGGCCGUGAGUUCGAGCCUCACACCGAGCA